GACCACCCCUAGGGUCAAGGCCAUACGGACAGCCGGGUCCACUGCCGA
This 48-nucleotide small RNA is filed under the name Candidatus Alloclostridium intestinigallinarum. RNAcentral describes it as "Streptococcus sRNA SpF59 (ldcC RNA)". It matches the Rfam family "Streptococcus sRNA SpF59 (ldcC RNA)". The record is from RNAcentral. Lineage: Bacteria; Bacillati; Bacillota; Clostridia.